UGGGGAAUUUUGGACAAUGGGGGCAACCCUGAUCCAGCCAUGCCGCGUGAGUGAAGAAGGCCUUCGGGUUGUAAAGCUCUUUCGGACGGAAAGAAAUCGCGCAGGUGAAUAAUCUGCGUGGAUGACGGUACCGUAAGAAGAAGCACCGGCUAACUACGUGCCAGCAGCCGCGGUAAUACGUAGGGUGCGAGCGUUAAUCGGAAUUACUGGGCGUAAAGCGUGCGCAGGCGGCUUUGUAAGACAGGUGUGAAAUCCCCGGGCUUAACCUGGGAAUGGCGCUUGUGACUGCAAGGCUCGAGUGCGGCAGAGGGGGGUGGAAUUCCACGUGUAGCAGUGAAAUGCGUAGAGAUGUGGAGGAACACCGAUGGCGAAGGCAGCCCCCUGGGUCGACACUGACGCU
Molecule: ribosomal RNA, 400 nt
Filed under: uncultured bacterium
Lineage: Bacteria
Description: bacterial SSU rRNA
Rfam family: Bacterial small subunit ribosomal RNA
Source: RNAcentral